UCGUGUGUACAGUCUAAUUUUUUAUCACACUUUAAGUACAUUUUUGUUACAACUCUUAUUUUUUUACUUCUACCUAGUAUGGACUGAUUACUUAGCUUUUAAUAGAAGAGCUGGUUACAAAAAAAGUCGGAGCUCCAAGAAGAAAAUAUGCUUUUUCAAAACAAAACUUAGUCAUUCUGUUCAAUUUCUUUUCUCCCUACAAGAGGGCCAUUACAAUACCAUACUAAUCUCUAGGAGGCAUUUCCAGCCUCUAGACCAGGGGAGCAGAUCUCUUUUAAGCAGCACUGUAGGAAUGUCUAACAGGGCAAAUAAUUCCCACCUCCUGAGAUUGUGAGGAUUAAAUACAUGAGGUUAUGAAAAAAGCUAGCAAGAAUUUAAAUUGUGUGAUUGGAAAGUUAGUAAACAGGACCCAGGAGUUCAGCUACCUAGUUUCUGCAUCCCAGUUAGUCUUAUAUAUGAAUUGAGGAAUUAAUAAAGAUCUUGUAAUAAUAAUUUUUCAUACUUUCUCAGUACCAGGUAUAGUUAUAAACCCAGUAGUGUGUGACCUUGACAAUAUAUGAGGUAGACACUAUUGGCAUCAUCUCCAUUUUAUAGAAGGUGCAAAUGACACCCAGACAGGUUGCUAAGUAACUAGCUUAAGGCCACAGCUGUAAGUGGCAAAACCAGACUUCAAACCCAGCAAUCUGACUCCACUACUGUGUUCUUCGCCAUGAGUCCACCCUGCCUUUUUCAGGGACUUGACAUCAUGAAUGUUUCAAGGCUAAUCUCAGUCCCUAAUAGGAGGCAGCCUAUUGCUGAUUCUCUCUCAUCAUUGAUGUUUCUCUCUCUCGCCCUCUUCCUUGCUCUCUGAAAUCAAUAAAAAUAUAUUUUAAAAAAUAAAGAAGCAGCAGUCACUUUAAAAAAAUAGGCAACUGUGUCAUUGAUUCAAGUCAUAAAAACAGUAAGACCCUUUUCUGUUUCUUUUUCUCUCCCUUCUCCAAUCGUUUGCCCACCCUAAUUCUACUUCCUCCUCCAAGAUCUUAGUAAGGAUUUCUUCCUGAAGCUCUUUGGUUGAUCAAUAACAGAAGAAGGAUAAGAGAAGGGGAGCAUGCCCCUCUCCCUAAGAGUAGCGAUUAGAGGCAUGGCAAACUGUUCCCCGUACAAUACUGUCGACUCAUCACCCUUUUUAGAACAAACAGCAGCUGCAGAUGAAUUCACAUAGUACUCAAGAGUUCAGCCUGUGCACACAGGCCACUCAAUAUCACCUGUACACCAACAGACACGUUCUUCAGUAUGAAUACUCCUCAGUAGACCUUACGGUGUCUUCAGUUCUUUUCUGGAAAAUAGAAAUAGAGAAAGUCCAAAAUAGAGACCUGCUUACCUACAUUUUGCGCAGAUUUGCCUACAUUCUUGGGUAUCAGGGAUUAGCUGCAUUAUCACUAGAUAGGUAAGAGUGAUUUUAACAUGCUCGAUUUUCAUACCAAUCGCUAUCUUUCCUUGACACCUGUAAACAUGACUCUAAUCUUCACGUCAAUUCAACAGUAUAGAUUCUAUUUCCUUCCUUUUUUUCAAAUAUAUUUUUAUUGAUUCCUUCCUUUAACAGAUGACAAAACUGAGGUUCAGAGAGGUUAAUUUAUUUAUCCAAGACCACACAA
Myotis daubentonii (Daubenton's bat) is the source of this 1634-nucleotide long non-coding RNA. RefSeq lists it as uncharacterized. The record is from RefSeq and is a predicted model, not a curated record. Lineage: Eukaryota; Metazoa; Chordata; Mammalia; Chiroptera; Vespertilionidae.